This 461-nucleotide ribosomal RNA is filed under the name uncultured bacterium. RNAcentral's name for it is "bacterial SSU rRNA". It matches the Rfam family "Bacterial small subunit ribosomal RNA", at positions 28 to 524 of the family's 1533-position model. The record is from RNAcentral.
GAUGAACGCUGGCGGUAUGCCUAAUACAUGCAAGUCGUGCGGAAAGGCCUCUUCGGAGGUACUCGAGCGGCGGACGGCAGAGUAACGCGUAGGAACAUACCCCCAAACUGAGGGAUAACUGCUCGAAAGAGUAGCUAAUACCGCAUGUGGUCUUCGGACUAAAGCUUCGGCGGUUUGGGAAUGGCCUGCGUUCGAUUAGCUAGUUGGUGAGGUAAUUGCUCACCAAGGCGACGAUCGAUAGCUGGUCUGAGAGGAUGAUCAGCCUGAUUGGAACUGAGACACGGUCCAGACUCCUACGGAGGCAGCAGUAGGGAAUUUUCCACAAUGGGCGAAAGCCUGAUGGAGCAAUACCGCGUGCAGGAUGAAGGCCUUCGGGUCGUAAACUGCUUUUAUGUGAGAAGAAUUUGACGGUAACACAUGAAUAAGGGUCGGCUAACUACGUAGCCAGCAGCCGCGGUAAU